Molecule: ribosomal RNA, 449 nt
Filed under: uncultured bacterium
Lineage: Bacteria
Description: partial 16S ribosomal RNA
Rfam family: Bacterial small subunit ribosomal RNA
Source: RNAcentral
AACGAACGCUGGCGGCAUGCCUAACACAUGCAAGUCGAACGAGAUCUUCGGGUCUAGUGGCGCACGGGUGCGUAACGCGUGGGAAUCUGCCCUUUGGUUCGGAAUAACAGUUGGAAACGACUGCUAAUACCGGAUGAUGACGAAAGUCCAAAGAUUUAUCGCCAGAGGAUGAGCCCGCGUAGGAUUAGCUAGUUGGUGUGGUAAAGGCGCACCAAGGCGACGAUCCUUAGCUGGUCUGAGAGGAUGAUCAGCCACACUGGGACUGAGAUACGGCCCAGACUCCUACGGGAGGCAGCAGUUAGGAAUCUUCCACAAUGGACGAAAGUCUGAUGGAGCAACGCCGCGUGCAGGAUGAAGGCCUUCGGGUUGUAAACUGCUUUUAUAGAGGAAGAUUAUGACGGUACUCUAUGAAUAAGGACCGGCUAACUACGUGCCAGCAGCCGCCGUAA